RNAcentral lists this ribosomal RNA (538 nucleotides) under uncultured bacterium. RNAcentral's name for it is "bacterial SSU rRNA". It matches the Rfam family "Bacterial small subunit ribosomal RNA", at positions 777 to 1315 of the family's 1533-position model. The record is from RNAcentral.
AAUAGAUACCCAGGUAGUCCACGCCGUAAACGAUGUCGACUUGGAGGUUGUUCCCUUGAGGAGUGGCUUCCGGAGCUAACGCGUUAAGUCGACCGCCUGGGGAGUACGGCCGCAAGGUUAAAACUCAAAUGAAUUGACGGGGGCCCGCACAAGCGGUGGAGCAUGUGGUUUAAUUCGAUGCAACGCGAAGAACCUUACCUACUCUUGACAUCCAGAGAACUUAGCAGAGAUGCUUUGGUGCCUUCGGGAACUCUGAGACAGGUGCUGCAUGGCUGUCGUCAGCUCGUGUUGUGAAAUGUUGGGUUAAGUCCCGCAACGAGCGCAACCCUUAUCCUUUGUUGCCAGCGGUUCGGCCGGGAACUCAAAGGAGACUGCCAGUGAUAAACUGGAGGAAGGUGGGGAUGACGUCAAGUCAUCAUGGCCCUUACGAGUAGGGCUACACACGUGCUACAAUGGCGUAUACAAAGAGAAACGACCUCGCGAGAGCAAGCGGACCUCAUAAAGUACGUCGUAGUCCGGAUUGGAGUCUGCAACUCGA